This 444-nucleotide ribosomal RNA is filed under the name Zygiella atrica. RNAcentral's name for it is "partial 16S ribosomal RNA". It matches the Rfam family "Bacterial large subunit ribosomal RNA", at positions 1831 to 2600 of the family's 2925-position model. Lineage: Eukaryota; Metazoa; Arthropoda; Arachnida; Araneae; Araneidae. The record is from RNAcentral.
UUUUUAUUGUUUUUAUAAUAAAUAUAACCUGCUCAAUGUUUUAUAAAUAGCCGCAGAAUUUUUACUGUGCUAAGGUAGCAUAAUCACUUGCCUUUUAAUUGAAGGCUUGUAUGAAAGGUAUCACAUUUAAGUACCUUUUUUUACUAUUUAUGUUAAUUUAUAUUAAAUAUAAAAAUAUAUUUAUUUUUAAAUUAGACGACAAGACCCUAUUGAAUUUUACUUUAGUUUAGCUGGGGAAGCUGAUUAACUAAUAUUUUAAUUAUAUAAUUUUAUUACAAUGAACCAAUUAAAUUGGGAAAAGGAAUAAAUUACCAUAGGGAUAACAGCGUAAUUUCUUUUUAAAGCUCUUAUUGAAAAAGAAGAUUGCGACCUCGAUGUUGAAUAAUAUUUCUUAUAAACGCAGUAGUUUCUUAAGAAAGUCUGUUCGACUUUUAAAAUAUUACA